This 62-nucleotide transfer RNA is filed under the name Calantica studeri. Its description in RNAcentral is "tRNA-Ala". The record is from RNAcentral. Lineage: Eukaryota; Metazoa; Arthropoda; Thecostraca; Calanticomorpha; Calanticidae.
AAAGUAGAAGUGUAAUAAUAACUGACCUGCACUCAGAAGAAGAUGAAGUUCAUCCUACUUUA